UACGUAGGGUGCAAGCGUUGUCCGGAAUUAUUGGGCGUAAAGAGCUCGUAGGCGGUCUGUCGCGUCUGGUGUGAAAAUCCAGGGCUUAACCCUGGACCUGCAUCGGGUACGGGCAGACUAGAGUGCGGUAGGGGAGAUCGGAAUUCCUGGUGUAGCGGUGAAAUGCGCAGAUAUCAGGAGGAACACCGGUGGCGAAGGCGGAUCUCUGGGCCGUAACCGACGCUGAGGAGCGAAAGCAUGGGGAGCGAACAGG
Molecule: ribosomal RNA, 253 nt
Filed under: uncultured bacterium
Lineage: Bacteria
Description: partial 16S ribosomal RNA
Rfam family: Bacterial small subunit ribosomal RNA
Source: RNAcentral